GACGAACGCUGGCGGCGCGCCUACACAUGCAAGUCGAACGAGCGAGAGGAGGUUUACUUUCUCAAGCGCGUGGCGAACGGGUGAGUAACGCGUGAGGAACCUGCCCCAAAGAGGGGGACAACAGUUGGAAACGACUGCUAAUACCGCAUAAGCCCACGACCCGGCCUCGGGUAGAGGGAAAAGGAGCAAUCCGCUUUGAGAUGGCCUCGCGUCCGAUUAGCUAGUUGGUGAGGUAAUGGCCCACCAAGGCGACGAUCGGUAGCCGGACUGAGAGGUUGAACGGCCACAUUGGGACUGAGACACGGCCCAGACUCCUACGGGAGGCAGCAGUGGGGAAUAUUGCACAAUGGGGGAAACCCUGAUGCAGCGACGCCGCGUGGAGGAAGAAGGUCUUCGGAUUGUAAACUCCUGUUGUUGAGGAAGAUAAUGACGGUACUCAACAAGGAAGUGACGGCUAACUACGUG
Molecule: ribosomal RNA, 465 nt
Filed under: uncultured bacterium
Lineage: Bacteria
Description: partial 16S ribosomal RNA
Rfam family: Bacterial small subunit ribosomal RNA
Source: RNAcentral